Molecule: ribosomal RNA, 484 nt
Filed under: uncultured bacterium
Lineage: Bacteria
Description: partial 16S ribosomal RNA
Rfam family: Bacterial small subunit ribosomal RNA
Source: RNAcentral
AUUGAACGCUGGCGGCAGGCCUAACACAUGCAAGUCGAGCGGAUGAAGUGAGCUUGCUCCUGGAUUCAGCGGCGGACGGGUGAGUAAUGCCUAGGAAUCUGCCUGGUAGUGGGGGAUAACGUCCGGAAACGGGCGCUAAUACCGCAUACGUCCUGAGGGAGAAAGUGGGGGAUCUUCGGACCUCACGCUAUCAGAUGAGCCUAGGUCGGAUUAGCUAGUUGGUGGGGUAAAGGCCUACCAAGGCGACGAUCCGUAACUGGUCUGAGAGGAUGAUCAGUCACACUGGAACUGAGACACGGUCCAGACCCCUACGGGAGGCAGCAGUGGGGAAUAUUGGACAAUGGGCGAAAGCCUGAUCCAGCCAUGCCGCGUGUGUGAAGAAGGUCUUCGGAUUGUAAAGCACUUUAAGUUGGGAGGAAGGGCAGUAAGUUAAUACCUUGCUGUUUUGACGUUACCAACAGAAUAAGCACCGGCUAACUUCGUG